RNAcentral lists this microRNA precursor (72 nucleotides) under Dipodomys ordii (Ord's kangaroo rat). RNAcentral's name for it is "microRNA 216a (ENSDORG00000029775.1)". It matches the Rfam family "mir-216 microRNA precursor family". Lineage: Eukaryota; Metazoa; Chordata; Mammalia; Rodentia; Heteromyidae. The record is from RNAcentral.
UUGGCUUAAUCUCAGCUGGCAACUGUGAGAUGUUCACAUAAUCCCUCACAGUGGUCUCUGGGGUUGUGCUAA